RNAcentral lists this ribosomal RNA (775 nucleotides) under uncultured Arthrobacter sp. Its description in RNAcentral is "bacterial SSU rRNA". It matches the Rfam family "Bacterial small subunit ribosomal RNA", at positions 8 to 796 of the family's 1533-position model. The record is from RNAcentral. Lineage: Bacteria; Bacillati; Actinomycetota; Actinomycetes; Micrococcales; Micrococcaceae.
AGAGUUUGAUCCUGGCUCAGGAUGAACGCUGGCGGCGUGCUUAACACAUGCAAGUCGAACGAUGAUCCCAGCUUGCUGGGGGAUUAGUGGCGAACGGGUGAGUAACACGUGAGUAACCUGCCCUUAACUCUGGGAUAAGCCUGGGAAACUGGGUCUAAUACCGGAUAUGACUCCUCAUCGCAUGGUGGGGGGUGGAAAGCUUUAUUGUGGUUUUGGAUGGACUCGCGGCCUAUCAGCUUGUUGGUGAGGUAAUGGCUCACCAAGGCGACGACGGGUAGCCGGCCUGAGAGGGUGACCGGCCACACUGGGACUGAGACACGGCCCAGACUCCUACGGGAGGCAGCAGUGGGGAAUAUUGCACAAUGGGCGAAAGCCUGAUGCAGCGACGCCGCGUGAGGGAUGACGGCCUUCGGGUUGUAAACCUCUUUCAGUAGGGAAGAAGCGAAAGUGACGGUACCUGCAGAAGAAGCGCCGGCUAACUACGUGCCAGCAGCCGCGGUAAUACGUAGGGCGCAAGCGUUAUCCGGAAUUAUUGGGCGUAAAGAGCUCGUAGGCGGUUUGUCGCGUCUGCCGUGAAAGUCCGGGGCUCAACUCCGGAUCUGCGGUGGGUACGGGCAGACUAGAGUGAUGUAGGGGAGACUGGAAUUCCUGGUGUAGCGGUGAAAUGCGCAGAUAUCAGGAGGAACACCGAUGGCGAAGGCAGGUCUCUGGGUAUUAACUGACGCUGAGGAGCGAAAGCAUGGGGAGCGAACAGGAUUAGAUACCCCGGUAGUCC